Rhipicephalus sanguineus (brown dog tick) is the source of this 2250-nucleotide long non-coding RNA. RefSeq lists it as uncharacterized. The transcript has 2 exons. The record is from RefSeq and is a predicted model, not a curated record. NCBI's taxonomy places the organism in Eukaryota, Metazoa, Arthropoda, Arachnida, Ixodida, Ixodidae.
CCGGCCGCCGGACCCUCGCGUGAACGACGUCUUUCUGGCGAUUCUGUCGCAUCUGCAAUUGAUUUUCUGCUGUUUCUAGCAGCAAUGACUCUGAGGAUAAUAUCGGAUCAUCGGAUUUUAGUUCUGAAGAUGGAGAUUCGCAAAACCAGCCCGGAUCGUCGUCAGCUGUUCGGCGUGUCUCUACAGUAUAUGGUGGAGAUCUGCUGCCAUCAGCCCAGAACGUUUAGCCCAAGAAGAGAACCAGGCCUUGACCUCGGAAUGGUGCUGCGCAGUGAAGCAAAGCGGCUCACAAAAGCGAUCGACGUUUUUGUGAUGUUUUUCACAGCAGAGGUAGUAAAUAGGAUUUGUGUGAACACAAAUAAAUAUGCGUAGACGCAAAUCCUGAAGAAGCAGUCCUAUGCCAAGGCUGAUGGUUCGCGGAAAGAAGUGACGGCCGCAGAGAUGAUGAAAUUCAUUGGCCUGCUGAUCUAUAUGGGCAUCGUCGAGCUGCCACGGCUACAUCUCUACUGGAGCAGAAGGCUCCUUGUUUCCGGGUUUCGUUCCUCCCAAAAUAACGUCGAGAACGCGUUUUUUUGCUCUUCUGGGUAUGAUCCAUGUCUCGGACCCUGACGAAGAAAGCGGACGAAAGUUGGAUAAAAUUUCUUGGCUGCUUGAGCACAUGAAUGAGCAUUCAGCGAAAUUUUUCCAGCCAUGGAAAAGCCUUUCGGUGGAUAAAAGGAUGGUAAAGUCGAAAGCACGAUCGGGAAUUCGCCAAUAUAUCAAAUACAAAGUUGUGAAGUGGGGGUAUAAGUUGUGGGUGCUUGCUGACCCUCAGACAGGCUACACCAUACAAUUUUAUGUGUACACGGGCAAGCGAGAGAAAGCAAGCGCCAAUGGCUUAGCUUUUAACGUCGUUACAAAGCUGUGUGAGCCAUAUCUGGACCAGGGCUACCAUAUCUAUAUGGACAAUUUUUACACGUCCACAGCUCUGUUCCUGCAUUUGCUGAAAAGGUGUACGCUGGCUUGCGGCACAACAAGGAAGGAUCGCCAUGGAUUUCCGCAACAGAUGAAAGACACAGCUGGGAAAAGAAGGCUGAAAGAGGAAACAUUCGUUGGUUGAGAGAAAGUGGCGUUUUGUACCUGCAGUGGAAGGAUUGGCGAGUAGUGAACAUGAUGAGCACCAUCCAUACAGCCAACAACCAUGUGAUUGCAAAGCGGCAGGUGAAAAAAGAUGGGAAGUGGCAGGAAAUAUCUGUGCAAAAGCCAAAGCUCGUUGAUGAAUACAAUGCUGGUAUGCUUGGUGUCGACAAGUCCGACCAAAUGAUUGCAUCGUAUAACGUGCUCAUCAAAUGCGUCCGAUGGUGGAAAACUCUGUUUUUCCACUCAGCUGACAUUGCUUGUGUCAACAGCUAUGUCAUUUUUCAAGCUCAUCGCCAGCAGCAUGUCGGAGCAUCUGAGCUGCUAAGACCAUCAAACUUUGACCAGCUGGCUUUCCGAAUGGAGCUCGCCCAGCAACUUCUCGAUCUUGAGGAGAGGCCACAGGUUCCCACACCUCCUCAAACCAGGUCCAUCCAGCACAAGCCAUAUAGAUUGGAGAAGUGGAGAAGAUGCAAGAAGUGCUAUGAGGACAACAAACUAGACCAUAAAACAAAUGUCAUCUGCAAAACCUGCAAUGUUUGCUUGUGCUUCACUACAGCCAGAAAUGUUUUGCCCAGUACCACGCCAACCUUAGGAAUUGAAUUUUUUCACAACUUAGAGCUUUGAGAUAGGUUCUAGAUCUUGUGGCUACUAUUAGACAUUGUAAUGUGAAGCUAUAUUUGUUGAUUACACAUUUACAAUUUUUUUUUUAUGGUAAAGUCAUACCUUACGCUGUUUUGGUGCCGUGUUCAGAGUUAUGUUUCGUGUUUGAGAUUUUUUUCCCGAGUUCCUAUUCAGCACAAUUUUUUAAAAUGCCCAUGGUUCAACAGCUCAUUUAUCUAUUUAUUUAGUAACAUUCAUUGCAUUGUUCUGUUUGAAAAAUUUGUAGAGGGAAAAAAUAUAAUUGCGGCACUAGAUGGAACAAGGCAGUUUCCACUAGGCAGAAAAAAAAAUUUUGUAACUCGUAUGAUUUAUGAGCUAGGCAGCUCAAACUUUCUUCUUUUAUAGACCAUUGACUUGAAAACAUUUUGUAUAUUUCAGAUUAUUUUUCUUUUUUUCUGAUUUUGUGUUAUAAGCACCGCAUUAGAAAUGUUCUAUGCAAUUUUCAAUAAAUCUUGUUUUUCAUGAAUAUUA